ACACACAGAUGCAAGGUCUCCUGAUGGCAGAAAACCUUAUAAGCAGAGACGGGGUUACUCCGUGUUAGCCAGGAUGGUCUCGAUCUCCUGACCUCGUGAUCCACCUGCCUUGGCCUCCCAAAGUGCUGGGAUUCUGUAAUCCCAGUGAGCCACCGCGCCUGGCCCAGAAUCAACCUCAGCUGCCAACGCCAGAAUCAACCUCAGCUGCCAAAUGCUAGACUGAAAAAAGAAUGUAAACAGCUUGAUGGAGGGGAGGAUCCUGGUGCACCUGUGGUUUUGACAGCUUUUGCUGCUGCUUGAGGAGGAAACAGGUUGCCUGUUUGUUCUUCAAGAGCACUUCUGGCAUCCAGGUAUUAUGCAGGCAUGCACUGCCAGCUGUGAAAGAUGCCGCUUCCUUGUCACUUCAGAGAAUGAUGCUUCUACAGAAGAUCCCUCUUGCUAUUUCAUUCAGGGAGCUCGGGAGAGGAAGACAAAAAGAAUCAAAUGCAAAGCACAGAUCAUUGAAAGGGCCAGGGUCUGAAGUGAGACAACUCGUGUCACAGUGUUUUCAAACUUGAGAAUGAAGAGAAGAAAGGAAAUUUGGUUUGAUGUUAUCAGUUUUGAUUUGCUAACCCAAAAGGUCCAGAAUAAAGAACAAAUCAUUAUAAGCAGAUGCUUCAGGUGACUACAGCCAGCUCCAGAGGUUCCAAAGAUCUUAAAGAUGUCCCAGAAAAGUUCUAGAGUACUAUCAGAUCUCACACUUUGCCUUGGAAGCUGUCAUUCCCCUCCAUUGGCCCCACAACUGCAGUAUAAUCUUCAGUGACAGGAGAAAAUCGACCUUGUUUGUACAGAAGUCUCAGCAGGAAUAGGCAGAUGCCUGUUUUUGCUGCCAAGGAUGGAGGAUUGGAAUGGGCCCAUUAUAUAUUUUGAGGCUUUGAAGAAAAGUCUCAGGAUAUGUUUUCCCAUUAAAAUACUGUUAUAAACAAUUAG
Molecule: long non-coding RNA, 969 nt
Filed under: Homo sapiens (human)
Lineage: Eukaryota; Metazoa; Chordata; Mammalia; Primates; Hominidae
Description: long non-coding RNA NONHSAT196136.1
Source: RNAcentral